Molecule: small RNA, 218 nt
Filed under: Propithecus coquereli (Coquerel's sifaka)
Lineage: Eukaryota; Metazoa; Chordata; Mammalia; Primates; Indriidae
Description: 7SK RNA (ENSPCOG00000011157.1)
Rfam family: 7SK RNA
About the family: 7SK was discovered as an abundant small nuclear RNA in the mid-70s but a possible function has only recently been suggested. Two independent studies have found that 7SK RNA binds the CDK9/cyclin T complex (known as elongation factor P-TEFb).
Source: RNAcentral
GAAAGGCAAUCUGGCUGUUACAUCUAUCACCUAUUGAUCUUUCAGUUGAUUUUGCUUAUCUGAUUGGCUAGGUGAGAUCACCUUUCUCCCUCAACCCUCCAUCUGCAUCUCUCUCAAACCUCAAUCAAAAAGGAUGACCUUCUUGUAUAGAGCAGAAAUCAUCUUUAGUCAAGUUGUUGAUUUCUCUGGGUAUAAUUUCAAAACCAGCUCUGCUCUUU